This 1315-nucleotide unclassified non-coding RNA is filed under the name Leishmania donovani. RNAcentral describes it as "gene:LdHU3.06.0280(CDS-product:hypothetical_prote in_conserved)". The record is from RNAcentral. Lineage: Eukaryota; Euglenozoa; Kinetoplastea; Trypanosomatida; Trypanosomatidae.
GGAGCAGCCUCACUGUUGCCCGUCGCCACCCACAUAUACCCACACAAACACCACACACACACACGUACACACUCGCCCAUGAAGCACUCCACGGUGGCCCCGUCCUCGUCGCUAGAGCUGACGAAGAAGCCGUUUCUGGCAGACAUCCUCCGCAAGGCUGCGGAGCGGCUCUGCCACAAGCAGCUGUGGCGUGUUGCGAGCCAGCUGGAGCGUUUCCCAUCGCCUGCCUCGGCAGACAUGGUGCGCGAUGCGCUGCGGGACAUUUCCGUCUUCCUCUCCGACGAGGAUUACGCGCACAUGUGCGAGGCCUACGCCACCGGCGCCACUGACGGACAGCAGGGUUGUAGGAUGAUCGACACGUCGGCUCUCAUUGAGAGUCUGAGCACAGCCUCGCUGACGUCGCGCAGGAAGCACGUGGUGGACCUUGUUAUCCGCAAGCUAGACCCCAAGGGCACCGGUACUAUCUCCUACAUGACCCUAAGUGACCACUACGACGUGCUGCGGCAUCCAGAGGUGCGAAACGGCGCGCGCUCCGAGGACGAUGUGUUGCUUGCUUUCUUCGACAACUUCUGCGCGGCCGACGGCACACCCAUGGUGCAGCUGACAGCGGCAGAGAUGCGCAUGUACUGCGUCGGUGUUUCGAUGCGGAUCAAGGAUGACACCGACUUCGAGCUGUGGUGCACGCGGGCGUUUUGCCUCGAUCGACCGAAGCUAGAUCAGAGCCAGGCGACGGUGCAGCUGACCGGCUCGCGCAGCCACUCCCGUCUGAGCCGUCUGCUUGGCGAGGGCCGCCAGCACCCGCUCUACACGACAACAAACGAGGAGUACGGAAAGGAGUCGACACCCUCGGACUACAAGCUGCCGCAGCACGGCCGCCCGCAGCAGUUCACGCGCAACUUGAAGCAGCGCACCGGUGGGGCGACAUCUAUGAACAUGUAGGCUGGGAUGGAGGGAGAAGGAAACAAGCUAGGCCAUCGCUCGAGUCUGGCAGCAACUCUGCGCGGACGUGCCUGCACAAACACACGUGUGUGCGCCAAGCUGAGGUUCAGCAUGUAAAAUAGGAAAAAGGGUGCGUGCACGUGGGUCCGUGUGUGUUGGGUGUUGUCUUCAUGGCGAAGGAGGGGAGGGGGAGGGGGGGGCGUGCGCCGAGUUCUUCUACCCCCUCUCUUUUGUCCUGUGAGCGUCUCAGCCACCCCCCCGCGCCUUCCAUGAACGCCUUACCCACACACCGACACAUCGCCUAUCCCGGCACGAGGACGAAUAACACCAACAAUAAAAGCGGAUAUGCGAAGAGGACCGCCACACAUGAAAGGAG